This 357-nucleotide ribosomal RNA is filed under the name uncultured bacterium. RNAcentral describes it as "bacterial SSU rRNA". It matches the Rfam family "Bacterial small subunit ribosomal RNA", at positions 8 to 353 of the family's 1533-position model. The record is from RNAcentral.
AGAGUUUGAUCAUGGCUCAGGAUGAACGCUAGCUACAGGCUUAACACAUGCAAGUCGAGGGGAAACGAUAUUGGAAGUCUUGCUUCCGAUAGGCGUCGACCGGCGUACGGGUGAGUAACGCGUAUCCAACCUGCCCACCACUUGGGGAUAACCUUGCGGAAGUAAGACUAAUACCCAAUGACGUCUCUAGAAGACAUCUGAAAGAGAUUAAAGAUUUAUCGGUGAUGGAUGGGGAUGCGUCUGAUUAGCUUGUUGGCGGGGUAACGGCCCACCAAGGCAACGAUCAGUAGGGGUUCUGAGAGGAAGGUCCCCCACAUUGGAACUGAGACACGGUCCAAACUCCUACGGGAGGCAGCA